AAUAAGUGAAGUUUUGCACUAUUCAUCUCCAACGUUUGACUGUUCGUCUUAUUUAAAAAAAAUUAUGAUUACUAUUUUUAUUGUUAUUAGAUGAUAAAACAUAAAUAGUACUUUAUGUGUGACUAUUUUUUAAAAAAAAUUCAUAAAUUUUUUAAAUAAGACGGACGAUCAAACGUUGGACACGGAUUUCUACGGUUGCACUUAUU
Molecule: non-coding RNA, 206 nt
Organism: Oryza glumipatula
Lineage: Eukaryota; Viridiplantae; Streptophyta; Magnoliopsida; Poales; Poaceae
Source: Rfam